Molecule: ribosomal RNA, 785 nt
Filed under: Zoanthus aff. vietnamensis ZvYS1
Lineage: Eukaryota; Metazoa; Cnidaria; Anthozoa; Zoantharia; Zoanthidae
Also listed under: 2 other names
Description: partial 16S rRNA
Rfam family: Bacterial large subunit ribosomal RNA
Source: RNAcentral
ACUAAACUAACUAAAGUGGGGGAUAGUGAGGGGAUAAAUUUUCUUAAGGAACUCGGCAAAAUCCCAAUGGCCCACCAGGGCAUAUUGGAACACGGGCCUCGACUGUUUACCAAAAACAUAGCCCUCGGCUAAUAUGAAAAUAGAUGUAUAGAGGGUGAUGCCUGCCCAAUGGUUGUAUCUAAAAGCGGUUGAUAAAAGUCGACCUCGUAAGGACAAUUGAAUGGCCGCGGUAACACUGACCGUGAUAAUGUAGCGUAAUCAAUAGCCAAUUAAUUGUUGGCCAGUAUGAAUGGCGCCACGAAGGCCCCACUGUCUUAAGGAAAUUCCCAGUGAAAUUGAAUUCGUAGUGAAGAUGCUACGUCCAAUUUGUUAGACGAAAAGACCCCGUUGAGCUUUACUGGAGCACUUAUAUGGCCCCGGCCUUCCCAUGCCUGGGAACCGGCCGAAUUUAAAUGGGCGGCUUAGAUUAUGUGGCAGCCCCCCGCUGGGGCAAAUGAAACACCACUCCCCCAUGUCAAAGGGGCUAACCCCCCCCUUGGGGGGGACAGUGUAAGUAGGACAGUUUGGUUGGGGCGACCGCCUUUUAAAAAGUAACGAAGGUGCGCUUAAGGUGUGCAAUUAAUGACUGAAGCCUGACUGCGAGGGGGGUACCCCGAGCAGACACCCCUAAGCCCGCCCGAAGGGCGGCGGUGGGGUGGGCCAUAGUGACCCGUUAAUUUAGAGUGGAAUAGUUAACGAUCAACGAAUAAAAGUUACCACGGGGAUAACAGCGUAAUAUCGUUAGA